This 497-nucleotide ribosomal RNA is filed under the name uncultured bacterium. RNAcentral describes it as "partial 16S ribosomal RNA". It matches the Rfam family "Bacterial small subunit ribosomal RNA", at positions 28 to 507 of the family's 1533-position model. The record is from RNAcentral.
GAUGAACGCUGGCGGCGUGCCUAAUACAUGCCAGUCGAGCGAACAGACGAGGAGCUUGCUCCUUCGACGUUAGCGGCGGACGGGUGAGUAACACGUAGGUAACCUACCUAUAAGACUGGGAUAACCUCGGGAAACCGGAGCUAAUACCGGAUAAUAUUUCGAACCGCAUGGUUCGAUAGUGAAAGAUGGCUUUGCUAUCACUUAUAGAUGGACCUGCGCCGUAUUAGCUAGUUGGUAAGGUAACGGCUUACCAAGGCAACGAUACGUAGCCGACCUGAGAGGGUGAUCGGCCACACUGGAACUGAGACACGGUCCAGACUCCUACGGGAGGCAGCAGUAGGGAAUCUUCCGCAAUGGGCGAAAGCCUGACGGAGCAACGCCGCGUGAGUGAUGAAGGUCUUCGGAUCGUAAAACUCUGUUAUUAGGGAAGAACAAACGUGUAAGUAACUGUGCACGUCUUGACGGUACCUAAUCAGAAAGCCACGGCUAACUACGUG